This 253-nucleotide ribosomal RNA is filed under the name uncultured bacterium. RNAcentral's name for it is "partial 16S ribosomal RNA". It matches the Rfam family "Bacterial small subunit ribosomal RNA", at positions 524 to 776 of the family's 1533-position model. The record is from RNAcentral.
UACGUAGGGUGCAAGCGUUGUCCGGAAUUAUUGGGCGUAAAGAGCUCGUAGGCGGUUCGUCACGUCGGCUGUGAAAACCUGAGGCUCAACCUCAGGCCUGCAGUCGAUACGGGCGGACUUGAGUACUGCAGGGGAGACUGGAAUUCCUGGUGUAGCGGUGAAAUGCGCAGAUAUCAGGAGGAACACCGGUGGCGAAGGCGGGUCUCUGGGCCGAUACUGACGCUGAGGAGCGAAAGCGUGGGGAGCAAACAGG